Molecule: unclassified non-coding RNA, 404 nt
Filed under: soil metagenome
Description: partial contains 5.8S ribosomal RNA, internal transcribed spacer 2, and large subunit ribosomal RNA
Rfam family: 5.8S ribosomal RNA (bases 1-122)
Source: RNAcentral
GAUGAAGAACGCAGCAAAAUGCGAUACUUGGUGUGAAUUGCAGAAUCCCGUGAACCAUCGAGUUUUUGAACGCAAGUUGCGCCCGAAGCCUUUUGGCCGAGGGCACGUCUGCCUGGGCGUCACGCAUCGCGUCGCCCCCCACAAUUCUCCGUAAAGGGAACAUGUGUUUUGGGGGCGGAUAUUGGUCUCCCGUGCUCAUGGCGUGGUUGGCCGAAAUAGGAGUCCUUUCGAUGGACGCACGAACUAGUGGUGGUCGUAAAAACCCUCAUCUUUUGUUUCGUGCUGUUGCUCGCAAGGUAAACUCUUUAAAAACCCCAAUGUGUCGUCUCUUGACGACGCUUCGACCGCGACCCCAGGUCAGGCGGGACUACCCGCUGAGUUUAAGCAUAUCAAUAAGCGGAGGA